AAGUUAUUAUUCAAGAGUUAAUAAACAGUUAUGAAGAAGGAGUAAAAUGGAUCUACAACAGUAAAAAUAGUACAAUUAUUUAUUCAAAUGCCAAGACGACAAAAGACAUAGAAGAACUACCUAGACGGAUUACUACCAUUGCAAAUUGGGAAAUUACGCCAACAACUAAUGCAUUGAGGAUAUAUCCGAAGCAGAUGACGGAGAAGACAAAAUACCUAUUAUGUCAACAAUUGAAGGACUUAUUCAACU
RNAcentral lists this long non-coding RNA (249 nucleotides) under Nicotiana benthamiana. RNAcentral's name for it is "long non-coding RNA (NBEN_LNC032178)". Lineage: Eukaryota; Viridiplantae; Streptophyta; Magnoliopsida; Solanales; Solanaceae. The record is from RNAcentral.